RNAcentral lists this ribosomal RNA (546 nucleotides) under uncultured bacterium. Its description in RNAcentral is "partial 16S ribosomal RNA". The record is from RNAcentral.
CGGUUACCUUGUUACGACUUCACCCCAGUUACCGGCUCCACCUUCGGCAGCUCCUUCCUUACGGUUGGGUCACUGACUUCGGGCAUUUCCGACUCCCAUGGUGUGACGGGCGGUGUGUACAAGACCCGGGAACGUAUUCACCGCGGCAUUCUGAUCCGCGAUUACUAGCGAUUCCAGCUUCAUGUAGUCGGGUUGCAGACUACAAUCCGAACUGGGACGUUAUUUUUGGGAUUUGCUUGGCGUCACCGCUUUGCUUCCCUUUGUUUACGCCAUUGUAGCACGUGUGUAGCCCUGAUCAUAAGGGGCAUGAUGAUUUGACGUCAUCCCCGCCUUCCUCCCGGUUAUCCCGGGCAGUCUCUCCAGAGUGCCCAUCUUAAAUGCUGGCUACUGGAAAUAGGGGUUGCGCUCGUUGCGGGACUUAACCCAACAUCUCACGACACGAGCUGACGACAACCAUGCACCACCUGUCUCCGGUGUCCCGAGGGAAACAUGGCUUUGCCCAUGCGUCACCAGGAUGUCAAGACCAGGUAAGGUUCUUCGCGUUGC